UAGAAAAUAAACGAGACGAAACAGCAGUCUAGAAGUAGGCACCAAAUCCAAGUUUUCAUGUGCGAUCCAGGUAUUAGGGUCCAUCCAGGAACAGCCUGCUGGAAUUGCUAGCCUGGCAUUCACAGAAGAUUGUGCCACCCACGAGGAAUGUGUUUUCAGCCCUGAAAUUCCUGGGAGUGAGAGGUGAAGCCAGCUGGAUUUCUGGGUUGGGUGGGGACUUGGAGAACUUUUCUUACAAGAGGAUUGUAAAAUGCACCAAUCAGCACUCUGUAGCUAGCUAGAGUUUUGUAAAAUGCACCAAUCAGUGCUCUGUAAAAACGCACCUAUCAGCACUCUGUAGGUAGCUAGAGGUUUGUAAAAUGGACCAAUCAGCACUCUGUAAAAUGGACCAAUCAGCAGGGCAUGGGCAGGGACAAAUAAGCCAAUAAAAACUGGCCACCCCAGCCUGCAGGGGCAGCCUGCUUGGGUCCUUUUCCACAUUGUGGAAGCUUUGUUCUUUUGCUCUUCACAAUAAAUCUUGCUGCUGCUCAGUCU
Molecule: long non-coding RNA, 534 nt
Organism: Homo sapiens (human)
Lineage: Eukaryota; Metazoa; Chordata; Mammalia; Primates; Hominidae
Source: Ensembl